AGGGAAUUUUCGUCAAUGGGGGGAACCCUGAACGAGCAAUGCCGCGUGAGUGAGGAAGGUCUUCGGAUCGUAAAGCUCUGUUGUAAGAGAAAAACGGCACUCAUAGGGAAUGAUGAGUGAGUGAUGGUAUCUUACCAGAAAGUCACGGCUAACUACGUGCCAGCAGCCGCGGUAAUACGUAGGUGGCGAGCGUUAUCCGGAAUGAUUGGGCGUAAAGGGUGCGUAGGUGGCAGAUCAAGUCUGGAGUAAAAGGUAUGGGCUCAACCCGUACUUGCUCUGGAAACUGAUCAGCUAGAGAACAGAAGAGGACGGCGGAACUCCAUGUGUAGCGGUAAAAUGCGUAGAUAUAUGGAAGAACACCGGUGGCGAAGGCGGCCGUCUGGUCUGGAUUCUGACACUGAAGCACGAAAGCGUGGGGAGCAAAUAGGAUUAGAUACCCUAGUAGUCCACGCCGUAACCGAUGAGAACUAGGUGUUGGGGGAAUAACUCAGUGCCGCAGUUAACGCAAUAAGUUCUCCGCCUGGGGAGUAUGCACGCAAGUGUGAAACUCAAAGGAAUUGACGGGGGCCCGCACAAGCGGUGGAGUAUGUGGUUUAAUUCGAAGCAACGCGAAGAACCUUACCAGGCCUUGACAUCCCUUGCAGAGGUAUAGAGAUAUAUCCGAGGUUAUCAAGGAGACAGGUGGUGCAUGGUUGUCGUCAGCUCGUGUCGUGAGAUGUUGGGUUAAGUCCCGCAACGAGCGCAACCCUUGUGAUAUGUUACUAACAUUGAGUUGAGGACUCAUAUCAGACUGCCGGUGAUAAACCGGAGGAAGGUGGGGAUGACGUCAAAUCAUCAUGCCCCUUAUGGCCUGGGCUACACACGUACUACAAUGGCGUCUACAAAGAGCGGCAAGCCUGUGAAGGCAAGCGAAUCUCAUAAAGGACGUCUCAGUUCGGAUUGAAGUCUGCAACCCGACUCCAUGAAGCUGGAAUCGCUAGUAAUCGCGAAUCAGCAUGUCGCGGUGAAUACGUUCUCG
RNAcentral lists this ribosomal RNA (1018 nucleotides) under uncultured bacterium. RNAcentral describes it as "bacterial SSU rRNA". It matches the Rfam family "Bacterial small subunit ribosomal RNA", at positions 356 to 1376 of the family's 1533-position model. The record is from RNAcentral.